RNAcentral lists this ribosomal RNA (274 nucleotides) under uncultured bacterium. Its description in RNAcentral is "partial 16S ribosomal RNA". It matches the Rfam family "Bacterial small subunit ribosomal RNA", at positions 523 to 796 of the family's 1533-position model. The record is from RNAcentral.
AUACGGAGGGGGCAAGCGUUGUUCGGAAUUACUGGGCGUAAAGCGCGCGUAGGCGGCGGAUCAAGUUAGGCGUGAAAGGCCUGGGCUCAACCUGGGAACUGCGCUUAAUACUGGUUUGCUAGAGGCCGGAAGAGGGUGGCGGAAUUCCCAGUGUAGAGGUGAAAUUCGUAGAUAUUGGGAAGAACACCGGUUGCGAAGGCGGCUACCUGGAACGGUACUGACGCUGAGGUGCGAAAGCGUGGGGAGCAAACAGGAUUAGAUACCCCGGUAGUCC